This 843-nucleotide long non-coding RNA is filed under the name Capra hircus (goat). RNAcentral's name for it is "lncRNA (ENSCHIG00010020720.1)". The record is from RNAcentral. Lineage: Eukaryota; Metazoa; Chordata; Mammalia; Artiodactyla; Bovidae.
AGGUCCAUGGCCAUACGAUUGCAAUUCCUGGACCUGCUGAUGCAUUUUUAAUUCAAUGCAAGGAUCUAGUAUUUAUUGAUUUAAUAAGGUUAGAGGUAUUACAUUGUUGCUGCUACUGAUGAACUGUCAGCAAUUUAAUCUAGUGAAAUCUAACAGAGGAAUAUAUAUUUUAGGGAAGGGAGUGGGUGGGGGAAGGGAGAGAGGGAGGAGGGAGGCAAUAGCUAUGUAAAUGUCAUCCCUUCAAUACCCAUGAUGGUGAUAAGACCAAAGCCCCUUCUCUCUCACACUGAUUUGGGCUCCAGAUAUUUACUAACAAUGUUGGCCAACCAGCUAGCUGAGGUCAAAAUGAAGAGACUGCAACAAAGUCUUGCAGGUAAACCUUCAAUAUUAGGGAAAGCAAGGACUUAUCUCCCAUAGCCACCCUCUGGCCUCUUCUCGAAGGUUUUGAGGUGCCUGCAGGCACACACAUGCACUCACCCUCAACGACCUGAGCCUUUACCUCCUCACCUCAGGGUUUAAAGGAGCCCUUCAGCAGUUUCCUUUUUGGCCCCUAACAUUGUCCAGGACAUCAUUAGCAUGCAGGCAGACAGAAAAGAAAGGAGACAAUUCACUUUCUCAAAAGCAAUUCUGCCAAAAAUACAACCAAAAGAGAGAGGCUUUACAGGUUAUGUCAAAAGAUGGAGAUACUAUAGGCUCCAGAAUCAGAGAAGAGGAAAGAAAUCCACCAAAGUUGCUGAAACAGACACUUGGGGAAUAUUAAAAAGCUUUUUGCACUGCUCCGCUACCCUGCUUGUGGGCUUCUUUCCCCAACCUGGACACCUGGGAAGCGUGUUGUGCUCCAGC